GACGAACGCUGGCGGCGUGCUUAACACAUGCAAGUCGAACGGAAAGGCCCUGCUUUUGUGGGGUGCUCGAGUGGCGAACGGGUGAGUAACACGUGAGUAACCUGCCCUUGACUUUGGGAUAACUUCAGGAAACUGGGGCUAAUACCGGAUAGGAGCUCCUGCUGCAUGGUGGGGGUUGGAAAGUUUCGGCGGUUGGGGAUGGACUCGCGGCUUAUCAGCUUGUUGGUGGGGUAGUGGCUUACCAAGGCUUUGACGGGUAGCCGGCCUGAGAGGGUGACCGGCCACAUUGGGACUGAGGUACGGCCCAGACUCCUACGGGAGGCAGCAGUGGGGAAUAUUGCACAAUGGGCGGAAGCUUGAUGCAGCAACGCCGCGUGCGGGAUGACGGCCUUCGGGUUGUAAACCGCUUUCGCCUGUGACGAAGCGUGAGUGACGGUAAUGGGUAAAGAAGCACCGGCUAACUACGUG
RNAcentral lists this ribosomal RNA (468 nucleotides) under uncultured bacterium. RNAcentral describes it as "partial 16S ribosomal RNA". It matches the Rfam family "Bacterial small subunit ribosomal RNA", at positions 28 to 507 of the family's 1533-position model. The record is from RNAcentral.